AACGAACGCUGGCGGCAUGCCUAACACAUGCAAGUCGAACGAGACCUUCGGGUCUAGUGGCGCACGGGUGCGUAACGCGUGGGAACCUGCCUUUAGGUUCGGAAUAACUCAGAGAAAUUUGAGCUAAUACCGGAUAAUGUCUUCGGACCAAAGAUUUAUCGCCUUUAGAUGGGCCCGCGUUGGAUUAGCUAGUUGGUGGGGUAAAGGCCUACCAAGGCGACGAUCCAUAGCUGGUCUGAGAGGAUGAUCAGCCACACUGGGACUGAGACACGGCCCAGACUCCUACGGGAGGCAGCAGUGGGGAAUAUUGGACAAUGGGCGAAAGCCUGAUCCAGCAAUGCCGCGUGAGUGAUGAAGGCCUUAGGGUUGUAAAGCNCUUUUACCCGAGAUGAUAAUGACAGUAUCGGGAGAAUAAGCUCCGGCUAACUCCGUGCCAGCAG
RNAcentral lists this ribosomal RNA (440 nucleotides) under uncultured bacterium. Its description in RNAcentral is "bacterial SSU rRNA". It matches the Rfam family "Bacterial small subunit ribosomal RNA", at positions 29 to 514 of the family's 1533-position model. The record is from RNAcentral.